Molecule: ribosomal RNA, 2796 nt
Filed under: bioreactor metagenome
Description: bacterial LSU rRNA
Rfam family: Bacterial large subunit ribosomal RNA
Source: RNAcentral
AGAGCAUAGGGUGGAUGCCUAGGCACCAAGAGCCGAAGAAGGACGUGGUAAGCUGCGAAAAGCUUUGGGGAGGCGCAAACAGCCGAAGAUCCAGAGAUAUCCGAAUGGGGGAACCCGGCUUGGAAGACCCAAGUCACUGUAUAGUGAAUCCAUAGCUAUACAGGGGGAACGCAGGGAACUGAAACAUCUAAGUACCUGCAGGAGGAGAAAGAAAAAUCGAUUUCCUGAGUAGCGGCGAGCGAAACGGAAGGAGCCCAAACCAGUCUGCGAGCAGAUUGGGGUAGAGGACUGCGGAAGGUAGUUCUGGAGAUAGCCGAAGUGUUUUGGAAAAGCACACCGAAGAAGGUGAAAGUCCUGUAGGCGAAAUCGAAGGGACGCCGGCAGGAUCCGGAGUACCACGGGACACGAGGAAUCCUGUGGGAAGCAGGGAGGACCACCUCCCAAGGCUAAAUACUCCUUGGUGACCGAUAGCGCAUAGUACUGUGAAGGAAAGGUGAAAAGAACCCCGGGAGGGGAGUGAAAGAGAACCUGAAACCCUAUGUUUACAAGCAGUGGGAGGCCCAUAAGAGGCCGACCGCGUACUUUUUGUAGAACGGUCCGGCGAGUUACUUAUGCCAGCGAGGUUAAGCACUGAAGGUGUGGAGCCGAAGGGAAACCGAGUCUUAAACGGGCGAUAUAGUUGGUAUAAGUAGACCCGAAACCGGGUGAUCUACCCAUGGUCAGGAUGAAGUCAUCGUAAAAGGUGAUGGAGGUCCGAACCCGGACGUGUUGAAAAACGUUGGGAUGAACUGUGGGUAGGGGUGAAAUUCCAAUCGAACCCGGAGAUAGCUGGUUCUCCGCGAAAUAGCUUUAGGGCUAGCCUUUAUGAUACCUGACGGAGGUAAAGCACUGAUUUGCCUAGGGGGCCAACAAGCUUACCGAAGCAUCUCAAACUCAGAAUGCCGUACAGGAGGACAUAAGGAGUCAGACUAUGGGAGAUAAGUUUCAUAGUCGAGAGGGAAAGAGCCCAGACCAUCAGCUAAGGUCCCGAAGUGUGUGUUAAGUGGGAAAGGAUGUAUUAUUUCGAAGACAACUAGGAUGUUGGCUUAGAAGCAGCCAUACAUUUAAAGAGUGCGUAAUAGCUCACUAGUCGAGAGGUAAUGCGCCGAAAAUUACCGGGGCUAAAACACACCACCGAAGCUAUGGAAGUUACUUAAGGUAACUUGGUAGCGGAGCGUUCUCUUGGCGCAGAAGCUGUACCGAAAGGAGCAGUGGAGCUAAGGGAAGUGAGAAUGCCGGAAUGAGUAGCGAGAAAGAAGUGAGAAUCUUCUUGGCCGAAUAUCCAAGGUUUCCAGAGUAAAGCUGAUCUGCUCUGGGUAAGUCGGGGCCUAAGGUGAGGGCGAAAGCCGUAGCCGAUGGGGAACAGGUAGAAAUUCCUGUACUACUGAUAAACAGAACUGUAGUGACGCAGGAGGGUAGGCAGACCGGGGAAUGGAGAGACCCGGUUAAGCACAAAGCCUAGGCUGGCAGGCAAAACCGUCAGUUGGUGGUGAAGUGUGACGAGGACCGAAAAACAAGUAGGGAAGCUGCUGAACCCACACUGCCGAGAAAAGCUGCUAUAGAUUUAUCAGUACCCGUACCGUAAACCGACACAGGUGGAUGAGGAGAGAAUCCUAAGGCCGACGGGAGAAGCGUUGUUAAGGAACUCGGCAAAAAGACCCCGUAACUUCGGGAGAAGGGGUGCCUGUAGAGAUACAGGCCGCAGAGAAUAGGCCCAAACGACUGUUUAGCAAAAACACAGGUCUCUGCUAAACCGAAAGGUGAAGUAUAGGGGCUGACGCCUGCCCGGUGCUGGAAGGUUAAGGGGACGUGUCAGACUUAGGUCGAAGCACAGAACUUAAGCCCCAGUAAACGGCGGCCGUAACUAUAACGGUCCUAAGGUAGCGAAAUUCCUUGUCGGGUAAGUUCCGACCCGCACGAAAGGCGUAACGAUUUGGGCACUGUCUCGACAACGCGCCCGGUGAAAUUGAAGUACUGGUAAAGAUGCCAGUUACCCGCGACAGGACGGAAAGACCCCGUGGAGCUUUACUGUAGCUUGAUACUGGGAUUCGGUGCUGCAUGUACAGGAUAGGAGGGAGGCAGAGAAUCAUGGACGCCAGUCUGUGAGGAGCCGCUGUUGGGAUACCUCUCUUGUAGUACUGAAUUUCUAACCUGAAUCCGUGAACCGGAUUAGGGACACUGUCAGGCAGGCAGUUUGACUGGGGCGGUCGCCUCCGAAAGAGUAACGGAGGUGCUCGAAGGUAACCUCAGAAUGGUUGGAAAUCAUUCGCAGAGUGCAAAGGCAGAAGGUUGCUUAACUGUGACAGAGACAUCUGGAGCAGGUACGAAAGUAGGACUUAGUGAUCCGGUGGUAAGAAAGUGGGAUUGCCAUCGCUCAACGGAUAAAAGCUACCCCGGGGAUAACAGGCUGAUCUCCCCCAAGAGUUCACAUCGACGGGGAGGUUUGGCACCUCGAUGUCGGCUCAUCGCAUCCUGGAGCUGAAGCAGGUUCCAAGGGUUGGGCUGUUCGCCCAUUAAAGCGGUACGCGAGCUGGGUUCAGAACGUCGUGAGACAGUUCGGUCCCUAUCCGUCGUGGGCGCAGGAAAUUUGAGAGGUACUGUCCUUAGUACGAGAGGACCGGGAUGGACGAACCUCUGGUGCAUCUGUUGUACUACCAAGUGCAUAGCAGAGUAGCCAAGUUUGGAGAGGAUAAACGCUGAAGGCAUCUAAGCGUGAAGCCCGCCUCAAGAUAAGAUUUCCCAUAGCGUUAAGCUAGU